CCUACGUGAGGCUGCAGUAGGGAAUCUUCGGCAAUGGACGGAAGUCUGACCGAGCAACGCCGCGUGAGUGAAGAAGGUUUUCGGAUCGUAAAGCUCUGUUGUAAGAGAAGCACGAGUGUGAGAGUGGAAAGUUCACACUGUGACGGUAUCUUACCAGAAAGGGACGGCUAACUACGUGCCCGCAGCCGCGGUCAUACGUAGGUCCCGAGCGUUGUCCGGAUUUAUUGGGCGUAAAGCGAGCGCAGGCGGUUAGAUAAGUCUGAAGUUAAAGGCUGUGGCUUAACCAUAGUACGCUUUGGAAACUGUUUAACUUGAGUGCAAGAGGGGAGAGUGGAAUUCCAUGUGUAGCGGUGAAAUGCGUAGACAUAUGGAGGAACACCGGUGGCGAAAGCGGCUCUCUGGCUUGUAACUGACGCUGAGGCUCGAAAGCGUGGGGAGCAAACAGGAUUAGAUACCCGUGUAGUC
RNAcentral lists this ribosomal RNA (465 nucleotides) under uncultured Streptococcus sp. RNAcentral's name for it is "bacterial SSU rRNA". It matches the Rfam family "Bacterial small subunit ribosomal RNA", at positions 338 to 795 of the family's 1533-position model. Lineage: Bacteria; Bacillati; Bacillota; Bacilli; Lactobacillales; Streptococcaceae. The record is from RNAcentral.